Molecule: ribosomal RNA, 843 nt
Filed under: Listeria monocytogenes
Lineage: Bacteria; Bacillati; Bacillota; Bacilli; Caryophanales; Listeriaceae
Description: partial 23S ribosomal RNA
Rfam family: Bacterial large subunit ribosomal RNA
Source: RNAcentral
GGGCGCAUAAGUAACAGGUCGUAGACCCGAAACCAGGUGAUCUACCCAUGUCCAGGAUGAAGGUAAGGUAAUACUUACUGGAGGUCCGAACCCACGCACGUUGAAAAGUGCGGGGAUGAGGUGUGGGUAGCGGAGAAAUUCCAAUCGAACUUGGAGAUAGCUGGUUCUCUCCGAAAUAGCUUUAGGGCUAGCCUCGAGGUAAAGAGUCAUGGAGGUAGAGCACUGUUUGGACUAGGGGCCCUUCUCGGGUUACCGAAUUCAGAUAAACUCCGAAUGCCAUGUACUUAUACUCGGGAGUCAGACUGCGAGUGAUAAGAUCCGUAGUCGAAAGGGAAACAGCCCAGACCACCAGUUAAGGUCCCCAAAUAUAUGUUAAGUGGAAAAGGAUGUGGGGUUGCUUAGACAACCAGGAUGUUGGCUUAGAAGCAGCCACCAUUGAAAGAGUGCGUAAUAGCUCACUGGUCGAGUGACCCCGCGCCGAAAAUGUACCGGGGCUAAACAUAUUACCGAAACUGUGGAUGAACCUCUUUAGAGGUUCGUGGUAGGAGAGCGUUCUAAGGGCGGUGAAGUCAGACCGGAAGGACUGGUGGAGCGCUUAGAAGUGAGAAUGCCGGUAUGAGUAGCGAAAGAAGGGUGAGAAUCCCUUCCACCGAAUAUCUAAGGUUUCCUGAGGAAGGCUCGUCCGCUCAGGGUUAGUCGGGACCUAAGCCGAGGCCGAUAGGCGUAGGCGAUGGACAACAGGUAGAGAUUCCUGUACCAGUGCUAAUUGUUUAACCGAUGGGGUGACACAGAAGGAUAGGGAAUCGCACGAAUGGAAAUGUGCGUCCAAGCAGUGAGUGUGAG